RNAcentral lists this long non-coding RNA (1209 nucleotides) under Heterocephalus glaber (naked mole-rat). RNAcentral's name for it is "lncRNA (ENSHGLG00000034791.1)". The record is from RNAcentral. Lineage: Eukaryota; Metazoa; Chordata; Mammalia; Rodentia; Bathyergidae.
CUCCGGAGAACCCUAAUGCAGCAACCAAGAGCCUGGCCCUUUCUCGCUUUCUUGCAACAACUCCGGUCCCUCCGAGUCCCAGCCCUGCGAAGAAGCUGGCGGCCCAGCCUGAGAUCCCUCCCGGUUAGGACAGGGCUGUGGGCUGCGUGCAAGCCCUGGCUUCAGGCCUAGCACUGGGGAAAAGAGGCUAUCAGAGGUCCCCCCACUCCCUCCAUGGCGAGCAGAUGCGCAGAGGGGUGGCACUUAGCGGCAGAUGGCCCAAAGCUUGUGGACUCUGUUCACAUAGGGCCAGGGGAAGCAGGGCCUUGUCCUUGGCCUCUGGGCGCUCAGGACAGCGCUGUCUCUCUAGGACCACCGAGCUUUCUGUGUCACCAUCUGGAUCAUGGCUUUGCCCGCUCCACGCAGGUCCUUGGAAGCCCCAGGGAUGUCCUUGCUGCUCUGGAGAAACUUGGGCCAAGGGCUAAGACCCACUUCCGGCUGUGGCAAGAUCGAGAGAGAGAGGCCCGAUCGGUUCCGAGCAUCUCAGUGAAACUGGACAGAGAGAUGAAGGAAGAGGGAAAUCGGUUUCCCAUCAGGGAGGGACUCCAGCCUGCUGCACGCUGUCUGCCUGUCCUCACCCUCUGUUGGGGGCGCUGGCACUGGGGAGCACUGCACAAGGCCUAGGCAUCCAGGGAAACUCAAAAGCAAAGCCUGCUCAGAGACAUGAGAGGAUGGGUCAUAGGAGAGCACAUUGCAAGUGGUGAGCUCAGACUGGUAGUACACAUCCUGUCUCCAAAAUGAAAAGUAAAAAGGGCUGGGGAUGAAGCUCGGUGGUAGAGCAUUUGCCUAGCAUGCACAAGGCCCAGAGUUUGGCGCCAGCCCUGGAAAAAAAGCGAAAAGCCAACAGUGAAAGCCAGACGUGGUGACGCACACCUAUAGUCCCAGCUACCCAGAAGCUGAGGCAGGAGGAUCCAUUGAGCCCAUAAGUUUGAGACCAGCUUGGAGAAAGCGGGAUCGAACUCAGGACCUUGCGCUUUCGAGGCAGGUGCCAGAACCACUGAGGGUCCCGGUAUGCUGUCCAGGCUGGUCUUGAACUCAUGGACUCAAGCGCUUCUCCUGCCUCAGCCGCCCAAAUAGGCUGGACUACAGGUGUGUGCCACCAUGCCUGGCUUCAAGUUCCACUUUUCUGUUUUCUUUACCACUGCAUCACCGCGUGUCCACACAGAGCAG